Molecule: long non-coding RNA, 329 nt
Filed under: Elaeis guineensis (African oil palm)
Lineage: Eukaryota; Viridiplantae; Streptophyta; Magnoliopsida; Arecales; Arecaceae
Description: long non-coding RNA (EGUI_LNC000093)
Source: RNAcentral
GAGGUCUUUUUCAUAAAAAAUAACAAGGCUCUGUGCAAAUUCCUAUCUCCUUGGGAGCUUUUCUAUCUUUUUUUCCUCUUCUAUCUUCCUGUAUUCUCUUCCUCUCUUGUACUUUUGAUCUUUAAUAAAAUUCAGCUGGGGUUAUACCCCUAGUUCUUAGUAAACAAAAAGACAAAAGAAAGUUCCAAUCAUCAGACGGCCAUGAGCUAUCUUUCUCUUACCCAUUAGAAUUGCUUGUCUUCUGGUGCCACAAAGCUUCCGACAUAUUUUAAGACACCACUCUGUUUAUAUCUGUUCAUCCCACCAAUCAAAUGCUAGUGAAAUUGGAG